UGGGGAAUAUUGGACAAUGGGCGCAAGCCUGAUCCAGCCAUGCCGCGUGAGUGAAGAAGGCCUUAGGGUUGUAAAACUCUUUCACCCGUGAAGAUGAUGACGGUAGCGGGAGAAGAAGCCCCGGCUAACUCCGUGCCAGCAGCCGCGGUAAUACGGAGGGGGCAAGCGUUGUUCGGAUUUACUGGGCGUAAAGGGCGCGUAGGCGGGCUGACCAGUCAGAGGUGAAAGGCCUGGGCUCAACCUAGGAACUGCCUUUGAAACUGUCAGUCUUGAGUCCGGGAGAGGAUGGCGGAAUUCCCAGUGUAGAGGUGAAAUUCGUAGAUAUUGGGAAGAACACCGGUGGCGAAGGCGGCCAUCUGGACCGGCACUGACGCUGAGGCGCGAAAGCGUGGGGAGCAAACAGGAUUAGAUACCCCCGUAGUCC
Molecule: ribosomal RNA, 424 nt
Filed under: uncultured prokaryote
Description: bacterial SSU rRNA
Rfam family: Bacterial small subunit ribosomal RNA
Source: RNAcentral